GAAACUGAUGCAGCAGCGACGCCGCGUGAGCGAAGAAGGCUUUCGUAGUAAAAAGCUCUGUCAUAAGAGAAGAAGACAGGACGGUAAAAUCGGAGGAAGCCCCGGCUAAUUCCAGCACAGCAGCCGCGGUAAAGGGUAGGGGGCUAGUCUGGUCCGGAAUUGCUGGGAGUAAAGGGUGAGUAGGUGGUCAUUAAAAUCAGAAAUAAAAGGCAAUGGCUCAGCCAUUGCAAUCCUUUGAAAAUUUAUGGAGUGCGGGCGGGGGAAGUAAAAGUAAUUCCUAGGGUAGCGAAGAAAUGGGUAGAUAUUAGGACGACCGCCAGGGGGGAAGGUGUUUUGCUGGUAAGUAACUGACAGGCAGUCAAGAAAGGGUGGGGAGCGAGCAGGAAUAGCUACCUAGGUAGUCC
Molecule: ribosomal RNA, 404 nt
Filed under: bacterium S5P3-142
Lineage: Bacteria
Description: bacterial SSU rRNA
Rfam family: Bacterial small subunit ribosomal RNA
Source: RNAcentral